GAUAGAGGAAAGCAGAAUUUCUAGUGUAGAGGUGAAAUUCGUAGAUAUUAGAAAGAAUACCAAUUGCGAAGGCAGCUUUCUGGAUCAAUACUGACACUGAGGAACGAAAGCAUGGGUAGCGAAGAGGAUUAGAUACCCUCGUAGUCCAUGCCGUAAACGAUGUGUGUUAGACGUUGGAAAUUUAUUUUCAGUGUCGCAGCGAAAGCGAUAAACACACCGCCUGGGGAGUACGACCGCAAGGUUAAAACUCAAAUGAAUUGACGGGGACCCGCACAAGUAGUGGAGCAUGUGGUUUAAUUCGAAGAUACGCGCAGAACCUUACCAACACUUGACAUGUUCGUCGCGACUUUAAGAGAUUAAAGUUUUCGGUUCGGCCGGACGAAACACAGGUGCUGCAUGGCUGUCGUCAGCUCGUGUCGUGAGAUGUUGGGUUAAGUCCCGCAACGAGCGCAACCCUCACUUUUAGUUGCCAUCAUUAAGUUGGGCACUCUGAAAGAACUGCCAGUGAUAAGCUGGAGGAAGGUGGGGAUGACGUCAAGUCCUCAUGGCCCUUACGUGUUGGGCUACACACGUGCUACAAUGGUAUCUACAACAGGAAGCAAGACGGCGACGUUAAGCAAAUCCUUAAAAGAUACCUCAGUUCGGAUUGCACUCUGCAACUCGAGUGCAUGAAGCUGGAAUUACUAGUAAUCGUGGAUCAGCGUGCCACGGUGAAUGCGUUCCCGGGUCUUGUACACACCGCCCGUCACACCAUGGGAGUUGGUUCUACCUUAAGGCAAGGUUUUAAACCCUUGACCACGGUAUAGUCAGCGACUGGGGUGAAGUCGUAACAAGGUAACCGUA
This 843-nucleotide ribosomal RNA is filed under the name uncultured bacterium. Its description in RNAcentral is "bacterial SSU rRNA". It matches the Rfam family "Bacterial small subunit ribosomal RNA", at positions 650 to 1504 of the family's 1533-position model. The record is from RNAcentral.